UGACAAGCCAAGGUAGCCUGGCCUGCACU
RNAcentral lists this non-coding RNA (29 nucleotides) under Homo sapiens (human). Lineage: Eukaryota; Metazoa; Chordata; Mammalia; Primates; Hominidae. The record is from RNAcentral.